Mus musculus (house mouse) is the source of this 455-nucleotide non-coding RNA. The record is from Rfam. NCBI's taxonomy places the organism in Eukaryota, Metazoa, Chordata, Mammalia, Rodentia, Muridae.
GAUAGUAGCAAAUAAUCAUUCGAGAACUUUGAAGGCCGAAGUGGAGAAGGGUUCCAUGUGAACAGCAGUUAAACAUGGGUCAGUCAGUCCUGAGAGAUGGGUGAGUGCCGUUCCGAAGGGAUGGGCGAUGGCCUCCGUUGCCCUCGGCCGAUUGAAGGGGAGUCGGGUUCAGAUCCCCAAAUCCAGAGUGGCGGAGAUGGGCGCCGCGAGGCGUCCAGUGCGGUAACGCGACCGAUCCCGGAGAAGCCCCGGGGAGAGUUCUCUUUUCUUUGUGAAGGGCAGGGCGCCCUGGAAUGGGUUCGCCCUGAGAGAGGGGCACGUGCCUUGGAAAGCGUCAUGGUUCCGGCGGCAUCCGGUGAGCUCUCGCUGGCCCUUGAAAAUCCGGGGGAGAGCUUGUAAAUCUCCGGGCCGUACCCAUAUCCGCAGCAGGUCUCCAAGGUGAACAGCCUCUGGCA